CGUAAAGCGCGCGUAGGCGGCUAAUUAAGUCAAAUGUGAAAUCCCCGAGCUUAACUUGGGAAUUGCAUUCGAUACUGGUUAGCUAGAGUGUGGGAGAGGAUGGUAGAAUUCCAGGUGUAGCGGUGAAAUGCGUAGAGAUCUGGAGGAAUACCGAUGGCGAAGGCAGCCAUCUGGCCUAACACUGACGCUGAGGUGCGAAAGCAUGGGGAGCAAACAGGAUUAGAUACCCUGGUAGUCCAUGCCGUAAACGAUGUCUACUAGCCGUUGGGGCCUUUGAGGCUUUAGUGGCGCAGCUAACGCGAUAAGUAGACCGCCUGGGGAGUACGGUCGCAAGACUAAAACUCAAAUGAAUUGACGGGGGCCCGCACAAGCGGUGGAGCAUGUGGUUUAAUUCGAUGCAACGCUAAUAACCUUACCUGGCCUUGACAUAGUAAGAACUUUCCAGAGAUGGAUUGCUGCCUUCGGGAACUUACAUACAGGUGCUGCAUGGCUGUCGUCAGCUCGUGUCGUGAGAUGUUGGGUUAAGUCCCGCAACGAGCGCAACCCUUUUCCUUAUUUGCCAGCGAGUAAUGUCGGGAACUUUAAGGAUACUGCCAGUGACAAACUGGAGGAAGGCGGGGACGACGUCUAGUCAUCAUGGCCCUUACGGCCAGGGCUACACACGUGCUACAAUGGUCGGAACAAAGGGUUGCUACCUAGCGAUAGGAUGCUAAUCUCAAA
Molecule: ribosomal RNA, 720 nt
Filed under: Acinetobacter calcoaceticus
Lineage: Bacteria; Pseudomonadati; Pseudomonadota; Gammaproteobacteria; Moraxellales; Moraxellaceae
Description: bacterial SSU rRNA
Rfam family: Bacterial small subunit ribosomal RNA
Source: RNAcentral